GCGGAUAUGGCGGAACUGGCAGACGCGCACGGUUCAGGUCCGUGUGAAAGCAAUUUCAUGGAGGUUCGAGUCCUCUUAUCCGCACCA
Molecule: transfer RNA, 87 nt
Filed under: Eubacteriales Family XIII. Incertae Sedis bacterium
Lineage: Bacteria; Bacillati; Bacillota; Clostridia; Peptostreptococcales; Anaerovoracaceae
Description: tRNA-Leu
Rfam family: tRNA
About the family: Transfer RNA (tRNA) molecules are approximately 80 nucleotides in length. Their secondary structure includes four short double-helical elements and three loops (D, anti-codon, and T loops).
Source: RNAcentral